ACCCAGGGGCAUGGGGACACCCAGGUGGCACCCAAGGGUGCGGGGACACCAGCCCACGUGGCACCCAGGGGCAUGGGGACACCCAGGUGGCACCCAGGGGCGUGGGGACACCCGGGUGGCACCCGAGGGUGCUGGGGGGACCCCCCUGCGCACAGGGCCGGGUGCCUGUGCAGGGGCACCCAUGUCCUGGUGGCGCUUGGGUGCCACCCCAGCCCUGUCCCUGUCCCCAUCAGUGGCAGGGGCCACCCUGUUGCCAUCCCCAAUGGGUGUCAGGUGCCACCCUGUCCCUGUCCCUAGUGGGCAAAAGGGGCCACCCUGUCCCCAUCCCUGUCCCCAACGGUGGUGAGGGCCACCCCAUCCCUGUCCCUGUUGGUGGCAGGAUCCACCAUGUCCCUGUCCCCAUCCCUGUCCCCAUCCCUGGUGAAGGCCACCUCAUCCAUGUCCCCGUUGGUGGCCAGAUCCACCAUGUCCCUGUCCCCAUCCCUGUCUCCAUCGGUGGCAAGGGCCACCUCGUCCAUGUCCCCGUUGAUGGCCGGAUCCACCAUGUCCCUGUCCCCAUCCCUGUCCCCAUCGGUGGUGAGGGCCACACCAUCCCUGUCCCCAUUGGUGGCCAGACCCACCAUGCCCCUGUCCCCAUCCCUGUCCCCAUCGGUGGUGAAGGCCACCCUGUCCCCAUCCCUGUCCCCAUCGGUGGUGGGGGCCACCCCAUCCCUGUCCCCGUUGGUGGCCGGACCCACCAUGUCCCUGUCCCCACUGGUGGUGGUGGCCACCCCAUCCCUGUCCCCAUUGGUGGCCGGAUCCAUGUCUCUGUCCCCAUCGGUGGCAAGGGCCCCCCUGUCCCCAUCCCCGGGGCCCCCACGGCGGCGGCGGAGGCGGUGGCAGCGGUGGCGGUGGCAGCGGUGACGGUGGCAGCGGUGACGGUGACUCACCUCGACCAUGGCGGGGUUGUCGGCCCGGAGGGCGUCGAGGCGGACGAGCAGCUCCUGGGCCAGCACCGCGUUGUCCUCGGGGCCCCUGGGGACACCGGCGGGGACACCGGUGGGCCGUGGGGACACGGGGCCGCGCAACGGGCGCCCGCCCCCCCCGGGGGACACGGCAGGGGACGGGGACGUGGGGACACGGCGCGGGGACCAAACAGGCUGCCCCAGCGAGCAGGGUGCCCCCGACGCUGGUGGCACCCGUGUCCCCGGGUGCCCGUGGUCCCCGUGUCACCCGUGUCCCUU
RNAcentral lists this long non-coding RNA (1223 nucleotides) under Apteryx haastii (Great spotted kiwi). Its description in RNAcentral is "lncRNA (ENSAHAG00000005482.1)". The record is from RNAcentral. Lineage: Eukaryota; Metazoa; Chordata; Aves; Apterygiformes; Apterygidae.